This 293-nucleotide ribosomal RNA is filed under the name uncultured microorganism. Its description in RNAcentral is "partial 16S ribosomal RNA". It matches the Rfam family "Bacterial small subunit ribosomal RNA", at positions 505 to 796 of the family's 1533-position model. The record is from RNAcentral.
GUGCCAGCAGCCGCGGUAAUACGUAGGGUGCGAGCGUUGUCCGGAAUUACUGGGCGUAAAGAGCUCGUAGGUGGUUUGUCGCGUCGUUUGUGGAAGUCCACGGCUUAACUGUGGGACUGCAGGCGAUACGGGCAUAACCUGAGUGCUGUAGGGGAGACUGGAAUUCCUGGUGUAGCGGUGAAAUGCGCAGAUAUCAGGAGGAACACCGAUGGCGAAGGCAGGUCUCUGGGCAGUAACUGACGCUGAGGAGCGAAAGCAUGGGGAGCGAACAGGAUUAGAUACCCUGGUAGUCC